GUAGUCUCGCACAGAUGCAUAUCAAUAAGCGGAGGAAAAGAAACUAACAAGGAUUCCCCUAGUAACGGCGAGUGAAGUGGGAAGAGCUCAAAUUUGAAAUCUUAAAGGGUUUCCCUUUACGAAUUGUAGUUUAAAGAAGUGUUUUCUGUUGAGGUUUUGGUAAAAGUUCUUUGGAAUAGGACAUCAUAGAGGGUGAGAAUCCCGUAUUUGACCUUUACUUUCAACUUUGUGAUACACUUUCAAAGAGUCGGAUUGUUUGGGAAUGCAGUCCAAAAUGGGUGGUAAAUUUCAUCUAAAGCUAAAUAUUGGCGAGAGACCGAUAGCGAACAAGUACCGUGAGGGAAAGAUGAAAAGAACUUUGAAAAGAGAGUUAAACAGUACGUGAAAUUGUCAAAAGGGAAGCGUUUGACACCAGUGUUGUUUUUCUGAAAAUCAAUUAAAGAACUGUUUAUGCUAAGCUGUUUAGACUUUAUCAGCUAUCUGUUUAGUUUUGAGCUUUUCUUUAAUGCACUUUUCAGUUAACAAGUCAACAUCAAUUUCUUUUGCUGUAAAAAAGCUUGAGGAAGGUGGCUUGAGAUUCGUCUUAAGUGUUUAUAGCCUCUUGCCUAUGCAGUCGGAGAGAUUGAGGUCUGCAGCGUAGAUCCUUCGGGGCUAAACGCAUUUGUGCUAAGUUAUAGCAUUUUAUAGACAACUUGUUGACUAUGAUUUGUCUUGUAGCUUACUCGCUUAUGUUAUUUUACCUACGCUUAGGAUGUUGAUCUGUAGUGCGUGCGC
This 774-nucleotide ribosomal RNA is filed under the name uncultured Neocallimastigales. Its description in RNAcentral is "partial large subunit ribosomal RNA". It matches the Rfam family "Eukaryotic large subunit ribosomal RNA", at positions 24 to 647 of the family's 3401-position model. Lineage: Eukaryota; Fungi; Neocallimastigomycota; Neocallimastigomycetes; Neocallimastigales. The record is from RNAcentral.